RNAcentral lists this ribosomal RNA (503 nucleotides) under uncultured bacterium. RNAcentral describes it as "partial 16S ribosomal RNA". It matches the Rfam family "Bacterial small subunit ribosomal RNA", at positions 28 to 523 of the family's 1533-position model. The record is from RNAcentral.
GAUGAACGCUAGCUACAGGCUUAACACAUGCAAGUCGAGGGGCAGCAUUGGAGUAGCAAUACUUCAGAUGGCGACCGGCGCACGGGUGAGUAACACGUAUCCAACCUGCCGCUUACUCGGGGAUAGCCUUUCGAAAGAAAGAUUAAUACCCGAUGGUAUAAAGAGUUCGCAUGUUCUCUUUAUUAAAGAAUUUCGGUAAGCGAUGGGGAUGCGUUCCAUUAGAUUGUUGGCGGGGUAACGGCCCACCAAGUCUACGAUGGAUAGGGGUUCUGAGAGGAAGGUCCCCCACAUUGGGACUGAGACACGGUCCAAACUCCUACGGGAGGCAGCAGGGAGGAAUAUUGGUCAAUGGACGAGAGUCUGAACCAGCCAAGUAGCGUGAAGGAUGACUGCCCUAUGGGUUGUAAACUUCUUUUACAAGGGAAUAAAGUGAGGGACGUGUCCCUUUUUGUAUGUACCUUAUGAAUAAGGAUCGGCUAACUCCGUGCCAGCAGCCGCAGUAA